UUGCUACACAGAGUUGAUACUGAUAUGAAAGUAUUACAGCUCCUUAAAUCCAGUCAAACCACAAAUCAGCAUCAUGCGCCUCUUCAAUCAGGAAAGGCUCAACAGCCACCCGAGGAGUAAAACUUUCACUGGCUUUUCCUGCUUCUGUCCGCAUCAGGUGUUUCUAGCACUUUGGCCAUGGCAGCCAGUUUACUGGCAGCAUUGAUGAUUUUCUUCUCAGCACUGGGUUUUAAAGAGGCAGAUAACCAAAAUUUGAUGAGGCAAAAAACAUCCAAGCAGCACAGAGGCUAAAGGAAACUCUUGCCACUCUUACCCGUUGGUCUGGCCCCCCUCCUCCAGGAGCUCCUGCAGGCAGCAGCUUCUCUCUGCUCCUGGACCUCCUUCAGAACCUCCUUUAACUCGGCCAGCACCUCCUCCAUCGACUGCUGCCGUUCUUCCCGCAACCUCAAAAAACAGCGUUUCCCACCGUUCACGCUCUGACUGCAAACUGGCUUUGUACUCUGGGAGGGAGAACAUCUCUUGGAGCCAGCGAUUAUGAGCUCUAGACACAGCCCUUUCAACCUGCAAAGGGGACAGAGGAGGAACGAGCACGGUGAUAUUCCAAGAUUUUACACAAACAUUAUGUUACACAAUAACAUGCGUUUUUGUGGUCAUGGUAAAAGUGCAAAAACAAGGCACUCUGUAUUUCAUGACCAUUGGAGUAGGCUAGUGGUUCUCAAACUGGGGAGGGGGUGCACAGAAAUUCUAUAACAUUAUUAUAUAUAAAAUGUAUAAAUAAAAUAUUUUCCCUGUAA
This is a long non-coding RNA of Ictalurus punctatus (channel catfish), 794 nucleotides long. RefSeq lists it as uncharacterized. The record is from RefSeq and is a predicted model, not a curated record. The transcript has 5 exons. Lineage: Eukaryota; Metazoa; Chordata; Actinopteri; Siluriformes; Ictaluridae.